AGCGAACGCUGGCGGCAGGCUUAACACAUGCAAGUCGAGCGGGCACUUCGGUGUCAGCGGCAGACGGGUGAGUAACACGUGGGAACGUACCCUUUGGUUCGGAAUAACGCUGGGAAACUAGCGCUAAUACCGGAUACGCCCUUUUGGGGAAAGGCUUGCUGCCGGAGGAUCGGCCCGCGUCUGAUUAGCUAGUUGGUGGGGUAAUGGCCUACCAAGGCGACGAUCAGUAGCUGGUCUGAGAGGAUGAUCAGCCACACUGGGACUGAGACACGGCUCAGACUCCUACGGGAAGCAGCAGUGGGGAAUAUUGGACAAUGGGCGCAAGCCUGAUCCAGCCAUGCCGCGUGAGUGAUGAAGGCCUUAGGGUUGUAAAGCUCUUUUGUCCGGGACGAUAAUGACGGUACCGGAAGAAUAAGCCCCGGCUAACUUCGUG
RNAcentral lists this ribosomal RNA (433 nucleotides) under uncultured bacterium. RNAcentral's name for it is "partial 16S ribosomal RNA". It matches the Rfam family "Bacterial small subunit ribosomal RNA", at positions 29 to 507 of the family's 1533-position model. The record is from RNAcentral.